RNAcentral lists this long non-coding RNA (1139 nucleotides) under Gossypium barbadense (sea-island cotton). Its description in RNAcentral is "long non-coding RNA (GBAR_LNC008177)". The record is from RNAcentral. Lineage: Eukaryota; Viridiplantae; Streptophyta; Magnoliopsida; Malvales; Malvaceae.
CGAUUCAAAUUUUUACAUGUAUGACAAGUACAAUUAUAUUGAUAAAUUCAAUGAUUAGAUUGUUAAAAUAUUAAUAAUUUAAAUAGUUACGAAAAGUAUAUAAAACUAUUUUAUUUUACACUGUAUAAGCAAAUCCCUCUCUUAAUUUUAGUGUUUGAAUCAAUUAUAUAGUAAGAAUUUUAAUCCACAAAAAAAGUAUCAAGCAUGUUCCUUGUAACAGGCCUAUUUUGCCCAGCCCGGGCCCAAAUUAAACAACAAAAAAAAUCAAAUAAUAAAUAAUAUUAAAAUAGCACAAAUCACAACUCAAGUCUAAAACCUAACCCAAAACAUGGCCCAAAACAUAAAACUACAAAAAAAACCCUAGUGACCUAAGGUGCCGUGCCUCCAUGUGUGCCCUCGACGCGCACGGCGCUCGAGAUUCGACCCCGUUGCACUAAAACGGUCAUCUAUGGCCCCGUUGAUCCAUUGUGUGCCUGCAAAAAGAAGCAAAAAAAGGGAACAAAACAAGACAACAGAGCAAACAGGCGAAAACAGAGCAGAAACAAAGCAAUAAAACAACAAAGGCAUAGGCAAUAGCAAUAAUAUUAAAUCAAGUGUAUUUUUUGGCUAUAAAAGCCCGAAAAACAAUUUAUUUUGGUCACACAGAUCAGUAAAUCAAAACGCAGAAUAGAAAUUUGGAAAGGUUGUUGCUUUGAUAUUUUAACUUCUCUUAUUUUCUUGUUUCUUUUUGUUUUUCUAUUUUAUUUUUUUACAAAUUUAUUUUAAGUAUAAAAAAGAAAAAUAAAAAAAGAAAGAAAAGACUUACCUGAACUACUCUACGAUCUUGUCACCGGGAGCCCUUCCCCCAUGCCGAAAUCGGACCGAGAGGGGAUCAAUGGUCCUUUUCUUGUGUCAUUCUUGGGGAGAAGAGACUCAGCCUUCAAAGGGUUUCAAAAAGGAGUUAAAAAAACCCCAUUUUUACGUGACUCCGACCACCGCCCACGGUGGAGUCACGGUGGUCAGGCGAUGGCGCGAUGAUGGGUUAUAAAACCCUAGCAGUGAAAAUAGGGAGGGGUUUUUUUUAAUAUUUUUUUCAAAAAAGGAAGCAAAUGAAAAAAAAUAAAAAAAAAAGCUGGUUUAAAUAAAGGAACAAAACGGUG